This 492-nucleotide ribosomal RNA is filed under the name uncultured bacterium. RNAcentral's name for it is "partial 16S ribosomal RNA". It matches the Rfam family "Bacterial small subunit ribosomal RNA", at positions 29 to 507 of the family's 1533-position model. The record is from RNAcentral.
AGUGAACGCUGGCGGUAGGCCUAACACAUGCAAGUCGAACGGCAGCACAGUAAGAGCUUGCUCUUACGGGUGGCGAGUGGCGGACGGGUGUGGAAUACAUCGGAAUCUACUUUUUCGUGGGGGAUAACGUAGGGAAACUUACGCUAAUACCGCAUACGACCUACGGGUGAAAGCAGGGGAUUUUCGGACCUUGCGCGAUUGAAUGAGCCGAUGUCGGAUUAGCUAGUUGGCGGGGUAAAGGCCCACCAAGGCGACGAUCCGUAGCUGGUCUGAGAGGAUGAUCAGCCACACUGGAACUGAGACACGGUCCAGACUCCUACGGGAGGCAGCAGUGGGGAAUAUUGGACAAUGGGCGCAAGCCUGAUCCAGCCAUACCGCGUGGGUGAAGAAGGCCUUCGGGUUGUAAAGCCCUUUUGUUGGGAAAGAAAAGCAGCAGGUUAAUACCCCGCUGUUCUGACGGUACCCAAAGAAUAAGCACCGGCUAACUUCGUG